GGUUGAUUGCCAUCAGGGGACCGAGCGCGGUCCGCUCGGUCUUUUGCCAUGGACCAUCAGACAGCAUUGGCCGUGAGGCAUUGGGUGUCGCUGGGACCGCCAGACUUGAAAAGGUUAAGAGGCACAACCACGGCGACGACAGCGCGGACAAGGUGACCACCAGUGAGUGGACGGGUGCCCAAAAGGAGGACAUGAGUGUCCCCCGUGAUUGUCGGUCCUCGCCUGCGGCGCCUCAAUGCGCUCGCCCCUUUUGCAAAAAAGACCUGCCGAUCGACCGCACCCGUGCGCGCCCUCUUUGAUCCGCUAGGGAAAAAACGCUGCGCCGCAACAAGGUGCGCAUGGGUCUGCCGCCGAUUCUGGGACCGCGUCGUGGUCGACCACCAAAGCCACCCAGGUCUGUGCCGAGGCCCGCCAGAGCCGACAAUGUGUGGAUGCGAUGGCGUCGCAUAUGGGCAUCAUGGUGGGGCGGUGCCGAUGUACCCCAUUCCUUUGACGUGGUGCCAAUGGCCGUCCACACGGCGACGUCAACACCCCAGUGACCGACAACGGGGGAAAAGAGACGCUCGUGCCCGCUUCUUCUCGUUGACUUGCUUGUUUCUUUUUUCCACGCCUUUUUCUUGGACGCCAUUACGCACGAGUUGGGCGGCAUGGAGAGGCCAGAUAGAAAACCUAGGACAGCGCCGAUGCGACAUGAAAAGGAGCGCCACGACAACGAUGGUGACAUCAACACCAAAAAAACCAGAGUGGGAA
RNAcentral lists this long non-coding RNA (750 nucleotides) under Pandoravirus celtis. RNAcentral describes it as "hypothetical ncRNA". The record is from RNAcentral.